GAUAAUAAUUUUAUAGGCGAAUGGUGGAUGCCUUGGGAUAUCGAGGCGAUGAAGGACGUGGCGUACCUGCGAUAAACUUCGGGGAGGUGGUCAGCAACCUUUGAUCCGGAGGUCUCCGAAUGGGGAAACCUAAUUCCGCAAAACGGAAUUGCCCUGCCCGCAAGGGUUGGGAGUUAACCUGGGGAAGCGAAACAUCAUAGUACCCAGAGGAAAAUAGAACAAUUGUUUAUUCCCUUAGUAGUGGCGAGCGAAAAGGGAAGAGCCCAAACCAUUUUUUUAAAUGGGGUUGCAAGGAUUUAGCGUCGGGAGUAUCCUUUGGUCUGCAAUAGUAGCAGGUCGAAGGAUCCUUACCGAGGGAGAAUGUUAAAGCAUAAACUUUUUCUGAAACUUUCAGUUUAAAGUUUUUCGUUAGUCAAACGUCCCUGGAAUGGGCGACCAUAGGAGGUGAUAGUCCUGUAGACGAAAACGGCUUUAUGCUCCUUGCUAUUUUACUUAAGUACUGUCGGGCAUGAUAACCUGGCAGGAAUCCGGCCGAACUAUACGGCCAAGGCUAAAUACUCGAUAUCACCGAUAGUGAACUAGUACCGUGAGGGAAAGGUGAAAAGUAGGGGGACGACCCCGAUGAAAUAGAAUCUGAAACCAUUUGCUUACAACGAGUUGGAGCCCUGCUUGCAGGGUGACAGCGUGCUUUUUGCAGAACGAGCCAACGAGUUUAAUUUCCCAGCUGUCUAAG
This 733-nucleotide ribosomal RNA is filed under the name Patescibacteria group bacterium. RNAcentral's name for it is "partial 23S ribosomal RNA". It matches the Rfam family "Bacterial large subunit ribosomal RNA", at positions 1 to 650 of the family's 2925-position model. The record is from RNAcentral.